GACGAACGCUGGCGGCGUGCUUAACACAUGCAAGUCGAGCGGUAAGGCCCUUUCGGGGGUACGACGAGCGGCGAACGGGUGAGUAACACGUGGGUGACCUGCCCUCAGCUCUGGGAGUAAGCCUGGGAAACCGGGUCUAAUACUGGAUAUGACUCCAUGACGCAUGUUGUGGGGUGGAAAGCCUUGUGCGGCUGAGGAUGGGCCCGCGGCCUAUCAGCUUGUUGGUGGGGUGAGGCCUACCAAGGCGACGACGGGUAGCCGGCCUGAGAGGGCGACCGGCCACACUGGGACUGAGACACGGCCCAGACUCCUACGGGAGGCAGCAGUGGGGAAUCUUGCGCAAUGGGCGAAAGCCUGACGCAGCGACGCCGCGUGAGGGAUGACGGGCCU
This 390-nucleotide ribosomal RNA is filed under the name uncultured bacterium. Its description in RNAcentral is "bacterial SSU rRNA". It matches the Rfam family "Bacterial small subunit ribosomal RNA", at positions 28 to 418 of the family's 1533-position model. The record is from RNAcentral.